CGGUCUUAACAGAGAUUCAAAUCUUUGCUUUGUAACCACAAAACAAAUUUCCAAUUUCAAAUCCCUGAAAGCCAACACAAAUUUGUGAACAAAUAUUCAAUUGGGGUUUCUUCUUCUUCUUCUAAUGGCUUCUGAUACUCCUCGAGCACGCAUUGAUCAAUUCUUUGCUUCAAAAAAGAAGAGGAAGUCCCUAUCACCAAGUCUGAAACCUGCAAGAGCCAAGAAAGAUGUUAAGACUUCACAGGAAGGGUCUCCUUGCACGAAAGGUUCGUUGGAUGGGUUUUUAGUGACUUCUCAGGAUGAUAGUAAACCUUCGCACGAAGCUAGAGGCACACCGGUUAGGAGAAACCUGACAUUAGAGAUCGGUCCAUAUCUAAAAGAUGAAAAUAAAGAUAGUAAUUUUUUGGUGGAAGCACAAUCUACAACUUUUGAUACAAAAACUUCAAAGGAGAAGUCUGUUAUUUCCCCUAACUCACAUGUUGUUGAAAAUAGAGGUCAUGGAGAAGAUGUCUUGGUUACUACACAGGUUACCGGAAACUCAGAACUUAAGCAAUUUGCUACGAACUUCUUGUCAUUAUACUGCAGUUCAAGUUUACCUUCAGCGCAGAAUGAAGGUGCUAGUAAACGGAAUGGUAGCCCUUCCAUUCUUGAUGCGGAUAAUAAGAAUGCAAAGAGAAUCCGCUGCAUCUCGAGUGAAUAUAAUUCUAAUAUCAACAGAAACUCUAAUUCUGAGGGCGCAACUUUAAAUUCUAUUGAGAUAACAGAGGGGAAUACAUCAGGUGAAGCUCGGAUAAGCUUGAGAAAAUGCAACAAUCUACCUGUCAUUGGGUCAACUGAAUCUGAGACACCUGGUUCAACAUCUACGAAGCUUCGUGUUGGUGAUACUCCCAAGUCAAGUCGUGGUAGCUCCAUUUUUUCACCCGGCGAAACAUUUUGGAAUGAAGCAAUUCAGGUUGCUGAUGGUUUGUUUGGCGGAAGUGAUAAGUUUUCUCUUCAAGCAGCACAAGAGUCUGACGCUUUGAAAACUCAUAAUGAGAUAAUCAAUUCCAAUAAUCUUGGAAAUGGAGACUGUGGCAAUAAGUCCCGCAAAACAUUUAAUGAAGGUAUAGAGACAGUUUCUGAUGCCGGCGUUUUUUCUGCUGUUGGUUCAUUGAGGAAGUUGGGAAAGGAUCUGGAUGGAGAGAAGUCCCCCAUGCCGGUUAAGCAUUUUGAUUUUGCCUCUGACGAGAAAAAUUCUGAUGCUUUACAAUCUCACAGAAGUAACAUGGACAUCCAGACUAUUAGUGGCAAAGGAUCCCAAGAUCAUGUAAAUUUGAGUAGCUAUCCUGUCCUCAGCCAUUGCAAGGCAGCUCAAGCAAAAGGCAAGAUCUUUGAAGUUCAAAACAUGACUCCAGAAUGUUGUGCUGCUAAGGGUAACAAGAAUGUGCUUAUCCACGAUACUGAUAUAAUGGCAUCAACUACACCUCCGGAGAAACUUAAUAGUUGUGCAGCUAAUUCCUUAUCAAGUAAAGACAACACUCCUUCAAGUAUGGCAACACUAAAGAAUCAUUUAGAUCUCAACCAUUGGCUACCUUCUGAAAUAUGCAACAUUUACAGGAAAAAGGGUAUUUCAAAAUUGUACUCAUGGCAGGUUGAUUGUCUUCAAGUGGAUGGAGUUUUGCAGAACCGGAAUCUUGUAUAUUGUGCUUCUACCAGUGCUGGUAAAAGUUUUGUUGCCGAGAUAUUAAUGUUACGGAGAAUUUUAUCAUCCGGAAAAAUGGGUCUUCUUGUGCUUCCAUAUGUAUCCAUUUGUGCAGAGAAGGCAGAACAUCUUGAGGUCCUUCUGGAACCCGUUGGGAAGCAUGUUCGCAGUUAUUAUGGUAAUCAGGGAGGUGGUAGUCUUCCAAAGGAUACUGCCAUAGCCGUCUGCACUAUUGAGAAGGCAAAUUCCUUAAUUAACCGACUGCUAGAAGAGGGUCGUUUGUCAGAGCUUGGUAUCAUUGUGAUUGAUGAACUCCACAUGGUUGGAGACCAGAAUAGGGGUUAUCUAUUGGAGUUGAUGCUGACCAAGCUUCGCUAUGCAUCUGGUGAAGGAAAUACAGAGUCAUCCAGUGGAGAAACUUCAGGUACGAGCAGUGGAAAAGUUGGCCUUGCUGGAAGCCUCCAAAUUGUUGGCAUGAGUGCAACUCUACCCAAUGUGACAGCAGUCGCCGAUUGGCUUCAAGCAGCUUUAUAUCAGACCGAGUUUCGACCUGUUCCAUUGGAAGAAUAUGUAAAAGUCGGUAACACAAUUUAUAACCAAAAAAUGGACAUUGUCAGGACAAUCUCAAAAGCAGCUGAUCUUGGUGGUAAAGAUCCAGAUCACAUCGUGGAGCUCUGCAACGAGGUUGUCCAAGAAGGCCACUCAGUGCUAAUUUUCUGCUCAAGUCGCAAAGGAUGUGAAUCUACUGCUAGGCAUGUGGCGAAGUAUCUUAAAAGAUUUUCCUUGAACCACCUGAGCAGCCAAAAUGAGUCAAUUGAUAUUACCUGUGCAAUUGAUGCUUUGCGAAGAUCUCCAGCUGGGUUGGAUCCUAUUCUGGAAGAGACUCUUCCUGCUGGUGUUGCCUAUCACCAUGCUGGACUCACGGUUGAGGAAAGAGAAACAGUUGAAACCUGUUACCGCAAAGGACUUGUACGUGUCUUAACAGCUACAUCAACCUUAGCUGCAGGGGUUAACCUCCCUGCCCGGAGAGUUAUUUUUCGACAACCGCGUAUUGGUCGUGACUUUAUUGAUGGCACAAGAUACCAACAGAUGGCUGGUCGGGCUGGUCGGACGGGUAUAGAUACAAAAGGAGAGAGUGUGCUGAUCUGCAAACCAGAAGAGGUCAAACGAAUAAUGGCACUUGUUAAUGAGAGCUGUCCACCGUUGCAUUCUUGUUUAUCUGAAGAUAAGAAUGGGAUGAUCCAUGCAAUAAUGGAAGUUGUAGCUGGUGGUAUUGUUCAAACAGCUAGUGACAUUAACCGGUACGUUAGGUGUACCCUUCUCAAUUCAACAAAACCAUUUGAUGAUGUGGUUAAAUCAGCACAAGAUUCUCUUCGCUGGUUAUGCCAUAAAAAAUUUCUUGGAUGGAGUGAAGAUACCAAGUUAUACACAGUCACACCUCUUGGUCGUGCAUCUUUUGGCAGUUCUCUCUCUCCUGAAGAAUCACUGGUUGUCUUGGAUGAUUUGAUUAGAGCGAGGGAAGGGUUUGUGCUUGCAUCUGAUCUGCAUGUUGUUUACUUAGUGACACCCAUUAAUGUUGAUCUCGAGCCUGACUGGGAACUGUAUUACCAGAGGUUCAUGGAGUUGUCUGCCCUGGAUCAGUCAGUUGGCAAUCGCGUUGGAGUUCAAGAACCCUUUUUGAUGCGAAUGGCUCAUGGUGCUCCAGUUCGUACAUCGUAUAGGUCAAAGGCUGGUACCAAAGGGUUGCAGGGAAAGUUGGAUAACAGAUCUCUGAAUGACCAUAUGCUUUCAGAUGAGCACAUGCUUCGCGUCUGUAGGAGAUUCUUUGUGGCUCUUAUACUGUCAAGGCUUGUGCAGGAAGUGCCAGUUGUCGAGGUUUGUGAUGCAUUUAAGGUCGCAAGGGGUAUGGUUCAGGCUUUACAAGAAAAUGCUGGAAGGUUUGCUUCCAUGGUCUCUGUUUUUUGUGAGAGGCUUGGUUGGCAUGACCUUGAAGGAUUAGUAUCAAAGUUCCAAAAUCGUGUCUCAUUUGGAGUGAGGGCAGAGAUUGUAGAGCUCACCACCAUUCCAUAUGUUAAGGGUUCCCGAGCUCGAGCACUGUAUAAAGCUGGUUUCCGAACACCUGAAGCAAUUGCUGAAGCAUCAGUUCCUGAGAUUGUCAAAGUACUUUUUGAGUCUUCAUCAUGGGCUGACCAAGGUUUUGCGCAACGGAGGAUCCAAUUAGGAGUUGCGAAAAAGAUAAAAAAUGGUGCACGCAAGAUUGUUCUUGAUAAAGCUGAGGAAGCAAGGCUUGCCGCAUUCUCAGCAUUCAGGUCGCUUGGACUUGAUGUUCCAACGCUUGCCCAGCCUGUCAUAUCUACUGCUGCUGGACAUAAUGCUCACAAAGAAGCUAGUACCUCCUCUGCAGAAGGGUCAACUAGUAGCUUUGUUAGCCGGGAGAACACGAAUCAAGUCCUUCCGACAUUACCCCAAGAAAGAAGUAAGGAGGUCAAUAUCACUAUUCCUGAUGCAGGAGCAGAAAAUGCAAAAGGGAAAAGAGUUGCUGACAAAGAGGUAUUUGAUAUAGAAGGAUCUAAUCGUAGCGGUGAAGUUAAUGAAACUACUCAUCAUAUUGAUAAUACAGAGACUUCCCCUUAUCCAACUUUAAGAGUUAAGGGCAUCGAAGGAGGUGGUACCUGUGAAAAUCAUAAUCCUGUUGGGGAACAACACUGCAAAGGAGCUGAGAUAUGUAAUGGAAGAGUCAAAGAAACAACAGAGAAGGGUCCUAUGAAUGCGACUGCUGUGGCUGGUGGAUUUGAUUCAUUCCUGGGUCUCUGGGAAGCUGCUGGGGAGUUCUAUUUUGAUGUCCAUUUCAGCAAAAAGUCUGCACUGAACAGCAUUGCCCCAUUUGAAAUAUAUGGCAUAGCCAUUUGUUGGGAAGAUUCUCCCGUCUAUUAUGUAAAUCUUCCGAGGGACUUAUUUUGGUCCAAAAGCAGAAAGAAUAGCCAAUCAUCGCCCAUUACCGGUGGUGAUAUUGGGAAUGCUCUACCACCAAAGCUUCAGUGGGAGAUAGCAAUACAACGCUGGAAUAGAAUUAGUACCAUAAUGAGGACAAAAGAUAUAAAAAAGUUUACAUGGAACUUAAAAGUUCAGAUUCAGGUACUCAAGCAUCCUACUGUUUCAAUUCAGAGAUCUGUUGGCUUGAGUCUUUUGGUCAAAUCUCUCGGUGUGGAUCUAAUUGACAACAAUUGCUAUCUGUUGUCUCCUGUUCCCGUUCAAGAUGCAAUUGACUUGUGUAUAGUAGCUUGGAUCCUCUGGCCUGAUGAGGAGAAAGGUUCUAACCCUAGUAUAGAAAAGGAAGUGAAGAAAAGGUUAUCCAUUGAGGCUGCUGCUGCCGCUAAUCGAAACGGUAGAUGGAAGAAUCAGAUGCGACAAGUUGCUCAUAAUGGUUGUUGUCGUCGAGUAGCACAAACACGAGCCUUGUGUUCUGUUUUAUGGAAACUAGUCAUUUCUGAAGGACUUGUUGAGGCACUUGGAGCAACUGAAAUGCCAUUGGUCAAUGUUCUUGCAGACAUGGAGCUCUGCGGAAUAGGCGUUGACAUGGAAGGAUGCCUACAGGCACGACAAAUUCUGGGAAGAAAGCUGAAGAUUCUGGAAAAGGAAGCUUACAAGUUGGCUGGCAUGACUUUUUCAUUGUACACAGCAGCAGAAAUUGCGAAUGUACUCUAUGGGCAUCUACAGCUUCCUAUUCCAGAAGGACGUAAAAAAGGAAAACAGCACCCUAGUACCGAUAAGCAUUGCUUGGAUUUGCUAAGGAAUGAACAUCCAAUAGUUCCUAUAAUUAAAGAGCACCGCACCCUAGCAAAACUCUUGAAUUGUACAUUGGGGUCAAUUUGCUCACUUGCUAGACUAUCUAUGAGGACACAGAGGUACACACUGCAUGGUCAUUGGCUCCAGACGUCAACAGCAACAGGGCGACUGUCAAUGGAGGAACCAAAUCUUCAGUGUGUUGAACAUAUGGUUGACUUCAAAAUGAAUAACGAGGAUAAAGACAUUUGUCCGCUAGAUGUCAAUAAUUAUAAGAUCAAUGCGCGUGAUUUUUUUGUAUCUACUCAGGAGAAUUGGUUACUGUUAACAGCAGAUUAUUCCCAGAUAGAACUAAGAUUGAUGGCUCAUUUCUCUAAAGAUUCCUCGUUGAUCGAGCUGCUUAGUGAACCCCAAGGUGAUGUCUUCACCAUGAUUGCUGCAAAAUGGACAGGUAAAACAGAGUCUAUUGUGAGUCAAGGGGAGCGAGAUCAAACUAAAAGAUUGGUUUACGGCAUUCUUUAUGGAAUGGGAGCUAAGAGCCUUGCAGAACAAAUCGAUUGUAGUUCAGAUGAAGCAGCUGAAAGAAUAGAAAGCUUUAAAAGAUCCUUUCCUGGUGUUGCUUCCUGGCUACAGGAAGCAGUUACAUCCUGCCGUGAGAAAGGUUAUAUAGAGACCCUCAAGGGACGAAAGCGUUUCUUGGCAAAAAUAAAUUUCGGAGACAGUAAGGAAAAGUCCAAAGCUCAGAGGCAAGCUGUGAAUUCUAUCUGCCAGGGGUCAGCUGCAGACAUUAUCAAGAUUGCUAUGACAAGCAUCCACUCUGUGCUUGAUAAUUUUGAGAAGUCUCCAUCCCAUUCUGCGGUUCAUGAAAAGUUUCAUGUGCUUAAAGGACGUUGUCGGAUCAUUUUACAGGUUCACGAUGAAUUAGUACUUGAGGCUGAUCCUUCUGUUGCAAAGGAAGCUGGAUUGUUGUUGCAGACGAGCAUGGAAAACGCUGUUUCUCUUCUUGUCCCACUGCAUGUGAAACUGAAGAUUGGGAGCACAUGGGGAUCGUUGGAGCCUUUCUAGGUCAGAGAAUGAAUAGGUUUAAAUGUGGACAUUUGUUGGUAAAGUUUAAAACUAUCAGUUGCUUCAUGCUGUUCGAACAGUAUCAACAGCAGUUAUUUUCAGUUUCCUCUCAAACUGGACAGUCUUUAUCUAACAGACCAAACAAUGAUGUUCACAUGGCAUGCAACGGUAUAAUUUCAUGUGGAUUAGCUUCUCGUCAAGGUUAUAAUGCACUCUUUGUUGGCGUGUUUCAUAAUCUCACAACUUCUGUACAAGAAAAGGAUCUGAUUGAUGGAUCAGGUUACUUGAAGGAAAUGGGAAGGACAGAGGAAGGGACUUUUCACUUUAUUGAACAAAAUCUGCCUUGUUGGUGCUCUGAUAAUUUUUUUAAACUAUGAUAUGAAGUAAUAUUGUGAUGAGGGAGCUGAGAACCAAGGCCGCUUUUCAAUAUUUUGAGAGCAUGAGAUGUCAAGACUGCUGAUGAGAUUUUCCUUAUUGUCUCCUGAGCAUGCUGCUUCACCGUGUUGUAAGCCGACAAGUAACUUAGAGGGCAAUGUGCUCAGAGAAACUCAGAGAAAGCGGAUGCUUCAUAGUGAAGUGUAAUAUUGUAAGUGUCAAUUAAUGGCAGGGUAAUACAUAUCCAGAGAACCAAGGAGUUGUCCAAGUGGCGGAAGACUUGUAGGUGCUGAAUGCUUGAUUCUUAAGUUUCAAAUCCUAGUGGAGCCAUAUUCGUUAUUCAAGCUUGUGUUGGCCCUGGGCUACGAAUCUUGUGGUGUGUCUCAUGCUCUUUAGUCGGGCAAUGAAGGGUUCCAAUGCAUUUAUUGGUCCCCUAAAGCCCAAAAAACAAGGGAAAAAGAAAAUUUCCGGGGAAGCAAUGAGCAUGGGAUAAAUACUUUUCCAUUGUCUAAGCCCUCAAAGUUUAGUCGACGCGGAUCUCCAGGAACAUUUCGGGUUUCUAUGAAUUGCCAUGCGAGGAUAUUGAAUGUCUUCUGGUGCAUUUUCUGCUGUAUAUUCCCUGACAUCUGUUGCAUGUGGAAUUGGUUAAUGAUGUUUGAGAAAGUUAAAUUGCUGUAUUUUUGGCUCUCUUAUGGAGGAACAGCCUGGGCCAUGGAAGAUCCACAUCCUGUCACAUUGUUAGCAGAGGGUAGAGACAAAACAAUCUCAGGGGGUUGGGAUCUGAAGGCAUGCAGCUGUGUUAGCAACUUUCCUGGCAGUCAAAUUUGGAAAUAUAGAGCACACCCGAAAGGCUGUUCUCAUUGCUUGGAAGACCUCAUUGGAAGUUACUGUGAUACGCGACAACUAGAGACAAUCAGAGGAGUUUUGAUGGUAAGUCGAAUCCAGAAUAACUGAAGUCUAUUUUUGCUUUAAUCCAGAUUGCUGAUGUUUCUGUACUUAGCAGAGAUUGAAUAGUGUCAACCAAGAGGUUGGUGGGAGAACUCAAAGAGAAAAUAAGAGUUACAAGUUGUUCUUGAAACCAUUGAACUAAUACAAAUAGAAAACACUGUUGGCUUCAGA
Lycium ferocissimum is the source of this 8023-nucleotide RNA transcript. It is a transcript of the gene named helicase and polymerase-containing protein TEBICHI, with no coding region annotated. The record is from RefSeq and is a predicted model, not a curated record. NCBI's taxonomy places the organism in Eukaryota, Viridiplantae, Streptophyta, Magnoliopsida, Solanales, Solanaceae. The transcript has 27 exons.